GUUUACGGCCAUACCAGCCUGGGUACGCCCGAUCUCGUCUGAUCUCGGAAGCUAAGCAGGGUCGGGCCUGGUUGGUACUUGGAUGGGAGACCGCCUGGGAAUACCAGGUGCUGUAAGCU
This 119-nucleotide ribosomal RNA is filed under the name Salmo trutta (river trout). Lineage: Eukaryota; Metazoa; Chordata; Actinopteri; Salmoniformes; Salmonidae. The record is from RNAcentral.